AUGAACGCUGGCGGCAGGCUUAAUACAUGCAAGUUGAACGGUAACAUUUUGUAGCAAUACAGAGAUGACGAGUAGCGUACGGGUGCGUAACACGUGUGCAACCUACCUUAUACAGGAACAAAACGUUGAGAAAUUAGCGCUAAUAUUCCAUAAUAUUAUUGAUAGGCAUCUAUUUAUAAUUAAAGCUCAGGUGGUAUAAGAUGGGCACGCGUUCCAUUAGCUAGUUGGUAAGGUAACGGCUUACCAAGGCAACGAUGGAUAGGGGUUCUGAGAGGAUACACCCCCACACUGGAACUGAGACACGGUCCAGACUCCUACGGGAGGCAGCAGUAAGGAAUAUUGGGCAAUGGAGGCAACUCUGACCCAGCCAUGCCGCGUGCAGGAAGACAGUCUUAUGGAUUGUAAACUGCUUUUAAUAGGGAAUAAUUUCGAUUAUGUAUAGUUGAUUGCAGGUACCUAUAGAAUCAGCAUCGGCUAACUCCGUG
This 485-nucleotide ribosomal RNA is filed under the name uncultured bacterium. Its description in RNAcentral is "bacterial SSU rRNA". It matches the Rfam family "Bacterial small subunit ribosomal RNA", at positions 29 to 507 of the family's 1533-position model. The record is from RNAcentral.